This 77-nucleotide transfer RNA is filed under the name Nitrospirota bacterium. Its description in RNAcentral is "Nitrospirae bacterium tRNA-Arg". It matches the Rfam family "tRNA". Rfam says of the family: Transfer RNA (tRNA) molecules are approximately 80 nucleotides in length. Their secondary structure includes four short double-helical elements and three loops (D, anti-codon, and T loops). Further hydrogen bonds mediate the characteristic L-shaped molecular structure. tRNAs have two regions of fundamental functional importance: the anti-codon, which is responsible for specific mRNA codon recognition, and the 3' end, to which the tRNAs corresponding amino acid is attached (by aminoacyl-tRNA synthetases). tRNAs cope with the degeneracy of the genetic code in two manners: having more than one tRNA (with a specific anti-codon) for a particular amino acid; and 'wobble' base-pairing, i.e. permitting non-standard base-pairing at the 3rd anti-codon position. Lineage: Bacteria; Pseudomonadati; Nitrospirota. The record is from RNAcentral.
GCGCCUGUAGCUCAGUGGAUCAGAGCGGAGGUCUCCGGAACCUCAGGUCAGAGGUUCGAAUCCUCUCAGGCGCGCCA